Carlito syrichta (Philippine tarsier) is the source of this 107-nucleotide small nuclear RNA. NCBI's taxonomy places the organism in Eukaryota, Metazoa, Chordata, Mammalia, Primates, Tarsiidae. The record is from Ensembl.
GUUCUCACUUCGGCAGCACAUAUACUAAAAUUGGAGUGAUACAGAGAGGAUUAGCAUAACCCCUGUACAAGGAUGACAUGCAAACUCGUGAAGCAUUCCAUAUUUUU